This 245-nucleotide ribosomal RNA is filed under the name uncultured bacterium. Its description in RNAcentral is "partial 16S ribosomal RNA". It matches the Rfam family "Bacterial small subunit ribosomal RNA", at positions 15 to 257 of the family's 1533-position model. The record is from RNAcentral.
GAUAUGGCUCAGGAUGAACGCUAGCGGCAGGCCUAACACAUGCAAGUCGAGGGGCAGCACGGUGUAGCAAUACACUGGUGGCGACCGGCGCACGGGUGCGUAACGCGUAUGCAACCUACCCGUAACAGGGGGAUAACACUGAGAAAUUGGUACUAAUACCCCAUAACAUCAGGACCGGCAUCGGUUCUGGUUGAAAACUCCGGUGGUUAUGGAUGGGCAUGCGUUGUAUUAGCUGGUUGGUGAGG